Molecule: long non-coding RNA, 1358 nt
Filed under: Salmo salar (Atlantic salmon)
Lineage: Eukaryota; Metazoa; Chordata; Actinopteri; Salmoniformes; Salmonidae
Description: lncRNA (ENSSSAG00000099620.1)
Source: RNAcentral
GGUAUAUUGAUCAGAAGCUGUAGUCUAUUGAUCAGAAGCUGUAGUCUAUUGAUCAGAAGCUGUAGUCUAUUGAUCAGAAGCUGUAGUAUAUUGAUCAGAAGCUGUAGUCUAUUGAUCAGAAGCUGUAGUCUAUUGAUCAGAAGCUGUAGUCUAUUGAUCAGAAGCUGUAGUCUAUUGAUCAGAAGCUGUAGUCUAUUGAUCAGAAGCUGUGGUCUAUUGAUCAGAAGCUGUAGUCUAUUGAUCAGAAGCUGUAGUCUAUUGAUCAGAAGCUGUAGUCUAUUGAUCAGAAGCUGUAGUCUAUUGAUUAAAAGCUGUAGUCUAUUGAUCAGAAGCUGACCUGGGUCAAAUACAUAUGCCAAAUAUUUAUCUAAUAAGAAGAGAUAUUUAAGCUUGCCAUUUGAAAACAUUUUGCUAUAGUGUUUCCUCCUGAAUCCGACUAUCGUUCAUGUAGAGUACCACACCUGCUGGUCCAGGUUCUCAAAGAGCCCAUUCAUGAGGCCUGGAAAACAGUAAACCUCCCACUGGGUUCUCUCUUCCUGUCACGAGCUGUUCAAUUAACCUGUGGUGCUCCUGCUAAAAAUCCUGUGGUUCUGUGACAUACAAUCUGUAUCAUGUUGGCACUACAUAACUCUAAAGAGUUGAGUACUUUCUGGCUUUACUACAAUCUGUGAGUUAAAUCAGGAAACACUAUACGUAGGACUAUCUGCAGAUAAAACCCCAAUGUUGACAUUAGUCAUUGAAGAUCAACUUUAAAGUGCCAAUAAUCUACAACAACAACAAAGAGAAGCAUUUGAAAAUAUAACUCCUGCCUCUCCCUCUCUUCCCUCUCUCACAGAGUGUUGUUGCCCACCCACAUAACAUAUAGAGCACUAUAUGCUAUAUCUAGAAAGAUGUGUCAGCAAGUUUCUUUUUCCCCUCUCCCCUCCUCUCAUCCACCUCUGGUUAUCCAGACCCUGAGGGAUGUAUGCUAUGGAAGGUGGGCUAGCUACCUCACAGACCAGACCCUGAGGGAUGUAUGCUAUGGAAGGUGGGCUAGCUACCUCACAGACCAGACCAGACCCUGAGGGAUGUAUGGUAUGGAAGGUGGGCUAGCUACCUCACAGACCAGACCUGACCCUGAGGGAUGUAUGGUAUGGAAGGUGGGCUAGCUACCUCAGACCAGACCUGUGUAAAAUACUAUUUGAAAUCUUUCAAAUACUUUCAGUGUUUGCUACAGCCUGCCUGGAGUGCCAUGUGGGCGUGGCAUGCAUUUGUGGGACUAUUCUAUUGGUCCAUUGAGCUAGGCAGGCUCAAUCAAGCACAGCUAAAAGUAUUUGAAAUAUUUCAAAUCGUUUUUGAACCUAGUCUUGUGGCUCUAC